CUAAGAAGUUUUAAUUCAAAAAAUAACAAAAGUAAGAGUUGCCUUAAAUGCCUCAAAAACCACUAACUCGAGGAAUUCCCUAAAUUAUAUCCUAUUUACGGGAUGCUCCUGAUAUUAAAUUGGCGUAUAUUCAAAUACGUAUUUAAUGGAGAUAUUGAAAAAAUGUAUCGUCAAAUAGUCAUACAUUAAGAGGACCAAGAUUUUUAACGUAUUAUGUUCCGAAAAUCCCCCAACAGUCCAUUACGCGACUUCAAAUUAAAAACAGUUACAUUUGGCGUUAACUGUGCACCAUAUUUAGCCAUCCGAACACUUCACGAAUUGACAAAAAAUACAAAGUCAGUAUUUCCUCUGGCAACGGAAGUGUUAAAAACUCAAACAUAUGGAGACGAUAUUUUGUCGGGAAGUCACACUAUUCCACACGCAUACGAAUCUUUAUCACAAGCAAUAAAAGCCCUCAAAUCCGCAUGGUUUCCAUUUACGCAAAUCACCCAAAUAUACUCAAAUAUACCAAACGAAAAUUUGUUGGACACUAAUUUCCUUAUAUCCAAAAUGGAAAGUACAACAAAAACUCUAGGCAUCCAAUGGAAUGCGAUAUCGGACGAAUUUUUAUACACGACUGAGUCCAUAGCCGCAUUAUCCGCCAUAACAAAAAACACAGAUUUUAUCAUCGGUGGCAAAACUUUUCGACCGCGCAGGAUGGCUUUCGCCAAUUAUGAUACAAGCGAAAAUCUUAAUACAAGAAUUAUGGCUAGAUGGAACCGAUUAGGAGGAACAAGUGAAACCUCUUCGCUUGAAAAAAUGGUCCCUGUUCGCCAACAAUAUGAAUGACAUUUCCCAGAAACAAACUCCACGAUGGAGGCUUCUGUGACGCCUCUGAGAAGGCAUACUGCGCUACUAUCUAUGUGCGCCCGCAAAGUGAAACCACGACAAUAAGCCACUUAUUAGUACCAAAAGCAAAAUUGGCUCCUUUAAAAACGCUAAAUCUACCACGACUUGGCUAUGUAGCGCUGUACUACUUUCCAAAUUAGGGGCCAUGGUUCCACCAUGCAUUUAAACAUGACAAAAUGCAAACUAUAUAUAUGGUCCGAUUCCGAAAUUGUACUAGACUGGUUGGAAAAACCACCACAUGCAUAGAAGACGUAUAUUUCUAAUCGAACGUCUCAAAUACUUGUCCUAGUGGGAUUAGCCACUUGGCGUCACGUAGCUAGUGCUGACAAUCCUGCCGAUCUAGGUACAAGAGGGUGCAAGCCACUGCACCUUGCCAUCACCAUUCUCUGGUGGAAUGGCCCCCGGUGGUUGAUAGAAUCUCCUGACUCUUGGCCACAAUCCCCAAUGCGCAACAUUAUCGCACCAGAAGGUCGAAAAAUCGCAACGUUUCAUACAUUAUUGGAUGAUGCCGACAUCCUUAAUCGAUUUUCAUCGCUUCCAAGAGCUCUCAGAGUAGUUCCUUAUAUGUUCAAAUUUAUCGAGCAACUCAAAAGCAAAGUCAAAGGAUUACAUAAUUUCUCAUGCAACAUAGAGACGCAUCUAGAAUUACAAAAGGCAAAGGUCGCACUAAUCGCAUAUACACAAGUGCGCUACUUCAGCCGCGAUAUAUCACUACUAAGAGAAUCGAAGCCGAUUAAUAAAAAGAGUUAGUUCUAAACCCAUUUCUGGACACGAAAGGUCUUCUUCGUGCCAAUGGCGGGCUUGCUAUUUCAAGCCAGACCUACAACGAACGCCACCCCAUAAUAAUUCUAGAGAGGUCUCCAUUUGCCACAUUAUUCCCCAAUACAUCCACAUAUUAAUACUACACGCCGAACAUCGCCUCAUGCAACAUAUGGUGCGCCAAGCGUAUUAUAUUCCCCGUCUUAAGCCCCAAAUCAAGAAGUGCAUCUUCACGUGCAAGAUUUUCACUAAGCACAAGCAGAAGAUGCGAACGCAGAUUAUGGCAGCACUUCCACCUGUACGCUGCAAUUACACUCUGCCUUUCACCACAACAAGUGUUUCACUGGGCUUUUCAGGUAAAGGAGUCCAUGUUAAGGUCUCCCACUCUCAUGAAAGGCUAUGUGGCUAUCUUUUUGUGUUUCCCCACAAAUGCCAUAUACUUUGAGCUAUGUAGUAAUCUGAGGACGGAGAGUUUUCUCGAGGCAUUUGCUCGCUUCGUCGCUCGACGUCGCUACACAUCAAAAAUCAUGGACGAUAACGCAAAACAUUCAUUGGAGCUCAACGAGCCACAGAAAAGCAGUUUGUGGAUUUCCUAAAACAAGUGUCACCUUACAUUGUACAAAAGUACGCCGCUCAGGCAUCAAUUGACAAUUUAUAAUCCCAAGCGCUCCUCAUAUGGGCGAUUUUGGGAAUCAGCUUUAAAAAUUUUCAAAUCCCACCUCAAGUGGGUAGAUGGAAAUACAAAUUCAAUUAUGAAGAGUUCACAACGUUAUUAAAUUGAAUUGAAGCCGUUCUCAAUUCACGGCUACUCACAGUACUAUCGCAAGACUCAUCAAAUUUCACCGCCUUAACUCUAGGUCAUUUUCUAAAAGGAGCACCCAUUCUGGCCAUUCCUGAGCUAGGCGUGAAGUCGCUGUCCCUAUUAAAUCGAUGGGAAAGAACUGAAAUUCUCCAUCACAAUUUCAGGCGUCGAUGGAAAGACGAAUACAUAAAGGAUCUCCACAAAAGAUACCGGUGGAAGACUCCUGAGAAAGCGCCUAAACUUGGAGAUUAUGUUCUCAUCCAUGAUGUUUGUCUGCCCCCUACCAAGGGGCGGCUUGGCCGCAUGGAAAUGCUACAUUACGGCUCCAACCAUCACAUACGAGUCGUUGAUCUCCGUACGCAAAACGGAACGCUAAUCAGACCGUUCGUGAAGCUGUACUUUCUACCAACCACUGACGAUCGCGAUUCCGCAAACCGCUAUAAACAAACCGAUAUUAUCGCGAUACAAUAAAUUCAUUAAAUUUAACAAUAAAACGAAAAUACGCCCAUAACAACGUUUCAAAUUAACAAAUCGUACAAAAUAACCAAGAACACAAAAAAUGGUUGAUUAAUACGACGACACAUUCAUGCCCCAUAUCGUGGCACGAUCACCAUGUCGAAUUAUCUGAUAGAAAUGUAUAAUCAGCAAUCUUCUCAAUACAGAUUAAGUUGGAUGUUGAUACGCCAGUAGCAACUACGCCAACCGCUCGGGCGGCUACCAAUGUGCCACGCACCAAGUUUGUACCAACGCCCCGAGCUGCAGUUGCAACAGUACUGGCCGCUGCACCGGUAACAACGCCGGCACUUGUACCUGCAAUGGUACUUGCACCCGCACCUCGUGGUGGCACCCGAUCUCGACCGACGCCGGAGGUCCAUCGGAUAAGAUGGCCUAUCUGUCGCCGCCCACAUCGUCUACACCAUUCUGGCCUAUUUAGGGCUAUGCGACCCUUGCAACGGCAGCAAGUUACACAAGCACACGGGCAUUAUCAAAACUGCCUUUGGCACACUCAUACGACUCCAGAUUGUGAGUCAAGAGAGCGGUGCUAAUUUUUAACAGGCCGCAUCACACGCUUCUACAUGGCAGCUCGCUACACGAAAUGAAUCGGCCACCCAUCCAUUGCGGAGGCGUAACACGACUUCCACCCACAACUCGUGUCGUACACCAGCGGAGUGGAACCUUGUUGGGGCGUCGACACCGUACUGCUCAAUACUGGCGGUAGAAAUUCUUUUGAAAAGAAUGGACGCCGAUCGGUAAUAGAUAUUACAUUCGCCAGCAGCACGCAGGUUCGAUCUGCGAAUUGGAAAGUGUGCGACUUUUACACACAUAGCGAUCACCUGGCCAUCUUGCUGGAAAUCUGCAAGCAAAUACAAACUCGAUCCAGCGUUAAAAAUUGCAAUAUGUUGCUUAUGUUGGAUGGGAACCUAGAUGGUGCGAUCAACGUUGACCGACAGGCUGAAAAACUAAUGAAGCACAUAAGUAGGGCUUGUGAUGCUGCUAUGUGUAGGAAAAGGCACAACAUAACCCAAAGGUCCGCAUACUGGUGGAACGAGGAAAUCAGCAAAUUAAGAAGCGAAUUCUAUAAAGCGAGAUGCCUCUGCCAAAGAAGCCAGGGUACGCCACACCAUACAAGACUGCCAGAAAGUUUCAAAAAUAAACAUAAAGAACUCAAGAAAGCUAUCAAAAGAAGUAAGUCCUCAAGUUUUAAAGAACUAUUGGAAAAGGUGGACGAGAAUGCGUGGGGUGACGCGCAUAAAAUAGAGAUGGCGAAAAUUAGAGGAGGUAAAAGUGAAGCACCAACCUGUCCGAUCUUUCUAGAAAAGGUGGUGAAAACGCUUUUCCGAACGCAGAAACCCCAAUCGAGUAGAACGAUACCAAGGUUAUGGAUGUGGUGCAGAGAUUUGGCAACGUAAAGGUACCUGGACUUGAUGGACAUCAACCAUAGCAAGAGACUCUAGACACGAUGUCUACAUGAAGGAGUUUUCCCGAAAACUUGGAAGAAACAGCGGCUGGUUCUUCUUCAAAAGCCAAACAAACCGGUGGUAAAGCCGAUGCAAUGAGAUAAAAAAUACUGCGCAGGGGUUACGCUUGACGUGAAAAACGCUUUCAACUCGGCAUACUAGCCUCAUAUACUGAGGGCAGUAGAGGCAAGAAACACCCCGGGGUAUCUUUUGAGGACAAUCAGCAGCUAUUUGUCUGUCAGACUCCUGCUGUGUGAUACCGAUACAGUUCCAAAAAAAAAAAAUUAUUUAAUAUUUGUCAGCUGCAAACUUUUUUAUACAUAGCCAUUUUUGAACAUUGCAAAAGAUUAGAAAUGACAUUAAAUCAUCGUUGCUUCACGGAUAUAUAGUACAUACAUAGGUGCAAAAGAUGUAUGCAACGAAGACAAGCUAUUGAUAAAAAAUGUUCAUAAAACUACAUUACUGGAUGUUUUAAAUUAUAUUUGUUUAAAUUAACUAAUAUAUUUCCGUUUAAAUAUAUUUGCGACAAUACUGCUAACACUUCCUGUGUGCAUAGCUAGUAGAGAAUGCAGUUUCUCUAAUUGAAUCAUCAAAAUCUACCUGCGUUCUGUUAUGUGUCAAAAAAACUGACAGGCUUGGCCACAUUAUCAAUUAAAAGUGAAGUAACACAAACUCUUAACAAUAAAAGAAUUGUGUGUUUUUUUUUCUUUUCAAAUAUUCUUUUAAUAAUGAAUUAUUUUUAAUUAUUACGGUUUUCGACCUCACUGUAAUUUGGUUGAAAUUUUGAUAUUGGGUAUUAUAGAUAACAGCUCAAACCGUCAAAAAAAGUGUUGGCGAACUUCAACUUUUAUUUUUGUUUUAAAUAUUUUAAUCAGUUAUUUUCUACAAAUACGUAGAAAGGUGGGAAAUUUUGCUGAGUAUCUGGAGAAAAGUCCUGAAGCUGGACGAGGCAUAUUUGGAAACAGCAAAUAUAAAAUUACGGAAGUGUGGAAUUCUGUGGGUCCCAACCCCGUUCACAGACGAACGAAUAAGGUCCCUAAGGAGUCGAUACUGAUGAUAUUGGCUAAACAGAAUACGGAAUUGUGGGAUAUGUUCCAUCGUGUCAACACUCCAGAAGGCGAUGUCAUCGUUAUGGGUAUAAACCAACACUCGUACUCAUUCCUCGAGUCUGCAUGUGAUAGGGCUCACCUUAUAUUCUUUACCAUCUAGUUCAGAGUCCUUUGAGGAAGUAAACAUUACGUUUUCCCCACAGUUCUUCAAUAGAGAAGAAUGGACCAAUUUUUUCUGUUAUCGACAGUUUCAAUGAGGAAAUCUAUAUAUUCAAUGACGGAUCUAAGGGCUUCUUCUGUAGGAACCCUUACGCAGAAAGCAGUUUAAAACUAAACUUCUAAAAUUCAGGUUUUAGGCCGAAAUUGUGGUCAUGACAGCAGUUGCCAAGAGAGCAUCUGCUUUAACAAUCAAGUCCAUAAACUUUCUAAUGGACCGCCAAGCGGCAAUUAAUCUGUAGCAAUUGGAGGAUAUAGGCACGAAAAUGAGGAAAGUUUUCCGAGCACUAUUCACUAUGGAAUGGCCAGAAAUGAUUAUUUUGCAUAUGGCCCAAGCAGCUCAUGACUUCCGGUCUUAGACCAUUUGACGACAACCCCUCCAAACGUGGUAAGGAUAACGAUUUAAAAGCAUGCAUCAGGAAUCUCUGGUCCUCAAUUGGUAAAGUGCUGCUGCCCAGCGGGUUGAAGUCAUCGUUGGAAUACGGACGGGUCAAGGACUAAUGCCUUUUGGCAUUUUCUACAGUGUCUAUAUAAAGGAGCUCAAAGUCGGUAUGGGAUUCGUAAUGGGAAAGAGACCGCCGAGUUCUAGUAUUCACGACGGAGGAUGAAUGUCUAGCCACAAUCCGCAUUAAAACGAAGUUCUCCAAUGUAAACAAAGGUAUCUUCUAUGAGCGCUUGGAGUGCACUUAUAAGAGCUGCCCGCGACGAUAUUAAAAUCGCGCUUGAUGAUUUUAACGUCAGGGUGGACAAAAAAGGUUCCUUUGGCACAAAGGUCGGUAAAUUCAGCAAUAUCCUCAAAAUAUUCGAAAUAUGAUUAUCUGUAAUACUAGAUACCAGCAUAAAAAAUUAAUCAAGGUACCUGGUUGCUUUCGGAUCGAAAAGCCACCAACCAGAUCGAUCAUGUUGUGAUAGACGGAAGGCACAUCUCCAUACCGAGAUUUGAAGAGGGAAGGGAGACGCAUUUAUAGACAGAAAAAUAGACAGAGGCCGAAAUGCGUGAAAUGUUGUUAAACAUUUGGUAUGGAAUUAAUUGACACCCUGGAUUAAAAUUAGGUUACGUCCUACAGCGAUCUAUCUAGUCUUAUCCCUAUGAGAGAAUUGAUUAAAAUAAGUUCGCGGAUAAUGUAUUGGGAACUUUGUAUGUACAUACUUUUUUCAAUUAGAAUACAUUACUUAAAAUGACGCCCAAUUUUGACGAAUACUCUUCGACUAAUAUUAAAGAGAACUGCAGAUAUGUUUAGAUUACAAUAUAAAUCCCUGAGCCUUUAGUCGCCUGUCGUGAUGUCGGGGCCGCGCGGAAUGUCAUAAAGAACGAUGAUCCGAACAGUCAGGCAUGGGAGGACAGACGACGUUGUCGGACGCAUGCGAUUUAUAUACUUUUAUGUUUUCUUUAUCGACUUUUAAACUAAGAGAACAUUCUUUGUAGUUUUUGUAAUAAACGACAACAAAAUUA
This is a long non-coding RNA of Bactrocera neohumeralis, 7125 nucleotides long. RefSeq lists it as uncharacterized. The record is from RefSeq and is a predicted model, not a curated record. Lineage: Eukaryota; Metazoa; Arthropoda; Insecta; Diptera; Tephritidae. The transcript has 2 exons.